Triticum urartu is the source of this 115-nucleotide non-coding RNA. Lineage: Eukaryota; Viridiplantae; Streptophyta; Magnoliopsida; Poales; Poaceae. The record is from Rfam.
CAACUACUCCCUCCGUUCCAAAUUACUCAUCGAAGAAAUGGAUGUAUCUAGAACUAAAAUACAUCGAGAUACAUCCAUACCUGCGACAAGUAAUUCGGAACGGAGGGAGUACAAG